RNAcentral lists this ribosomal RNA (465 nucleotides) under uncultured bacterium. RNAcentral's name for it is "partial 16S ribosomal RNA". It matches the Rfam family "Bacterial small subunit ribosomal RNA", at positions 338 to 795 of the family's 1533-position model. The record is from RNAcentral.
CCUACGGGAGGCAGCAGUGGGGAAUAUUGCGCAAUGGGCGAAAGCCUGACGCAGCGACGCCGCGUGAGGGAUGAAGGUCCUCGGAUCGUAAACCUCCGUUAGCAGGGAAGAACGGUCACUGUGCUAAUCAGCAGUGAAUUGACGGUACCUGCAAAGGAAGCACCGGCUAACUCCGUGCCAGCAGCCGCGGUAAUACGGAGGGUGCGAGCGUUAAUCGGAAUUACUGGGCGUAAAGCGCUCGUAGGCGGUAUGUCAAGGCAAGGGUGAAAUCCCCGGGCUCAACGUGGGAACUGCCUUUGAAACUGGCAAACUGGAGUGUGUGAGAGGAUGGCGGAAUUCCAGGUGUAGGAGUGAAAUGCGUAGAUAUCAGGAGGAACAUCAGUGGCGAAGGCGACUAACUGGCACAUAACUGACGCUGAGGAGCGAAAGCGUGGGUAGCAAACAGGAUUAGAUACCCCUGUAGUC